GUUCUACACCAGACCAGUGGAGCCAAACUGCAGCCCAUCAUCAUCCUCAUCUGCUUGUAAGUAGGCAAUCUAGUAUAUUAUUAGUGACACUAAUCUAUAAUGUAUCUCACAUUAAAGGGACACUAUAGCUUAAUGAAGUGGUUCUGGUGUCUAUAGCUGGUCCCUGCAGGCUUUUUAAUGUAAACACACACUGUGUGCAGCACUGGCAUUAGUUCAUAUGGCAGAUCAUAUGGGUGGGGCAUUGUGAUGUGACAUGUGGGGGCAGCAAAUUUUUAUUUUGUCUAGGGCGGCAAAAAUCCUUGCAGGGAGGGAGCUGCAUGAGCUGCGCUGGCUCUGCUCCCCAGCACGCAGCUGAAUGAGACCGGCGCCGGAAUAGGACAUCAUAUUCCGGCGCCAGUCUCAUUCAGCAGCGCGCGAGGGCGGGAGGGCACUAACACAGGAAGCACCUCUAGUGACCGUCUGAGUGACUGUCACUAGCAGUGUCACUUUGAAGCAAUGUAAACACUGCCUUUUGUCUGAAAAGUUAGUGUUUACGUUGAAAAGCCUGUAGGGACAUGCUAUAGACACCAGUACCACCACAUUAAGCUGUGUGUGUGCGUCUGCUAGUGAGUGAGCUUGCUUGCAUGCGUGUGCCUGCCAGUGAGUGAGCUUGUGUUUUUAUGUCAAUGAGCUGAUGUAUAUCAGUAAGAUUGUUUGUCUAUGAGGCUGUGUAUCAAUGAGCUUGUGUGUGUCACUGAAAUGUCAGUGAAAUUGCCUGUGUCUGCAUGUGCGUAUGCUUACUGUAUAAUUAAACGCUUUACCCUGAAAGGACCAAUAUUUUAUAUUAGAAAAAGCAAUAUAUAUAUAUAUAUAUAUAUAUAUAUAUAUAUAUUUAUUACUCAAUCAUCUGUCCUGGCAAGACAUAGCCUUACAUAUUACACGCGACAAUAUAUGGCGCAGUGACUUAUGGGGCUGGCACAAAUUUUUUUUCCAGGGCUGCUUUGUAUGCCCAGUCCGGCCCUGCCGAAGGGGGGGUUGGGGGAGAACUAUAGUGCCAGGAAAACAAAGCCGUUUUCCUAUCGAAUCCCUUUAAGGCAAAAUAAAAUCUCUAAUGAGACUGAGAUGGGUAUUUUUCUAAACCCUUAAUAACCCUUAAAGGGAAACUAUGAUGUCAGGAUAACAAACUCAUUUUCCUUCCACUAUAGCUUCCCCCUUUGUCAAGCCCACCCCAUGAUGCAGAAAGGGUUUAUAACCCCUUCUGUCACUUACCUGGCACCAGCACAGGUGUCUUUCGGUGCUGGCUCAUCUCUGCCCAAGCUCCUCCCCUGCCGACGUCCGCCGGCGGUAGAGAUCUAAUGUGAAUGCGCAGCAAUGCCUGUGCUCGCGUUAGGAUCACCCCAUUGGGAAACAUUAUUCAAUGCUUUCCUAUGGGGAUUCCGGCGAUGCUGGAAAUCCUCAUGCAUUGCACAAGGACGUCCAGCGUCGUUUAGACAACAAAGUCGUCUAUUCACCCGGAAGUCCCUCUAGUGGCUGUCUGGUAGAGGAGGAGUUGACCUUAGCAGAUAAUUAUUACAGUUUAUAAAGCUGCAAUAAUUACAUGUUUAGGGUUAAGGGUGAUGGGAGUUUCCACCCAGACCACUUCAAUGAGCUGAAGUGGUGUGGGUGCCUACAUUGUCCCUUUAAUAGUGAACACAUGGGAUGGGUGGCAGCAUUGGAACAUAGCUGUGUGAUACAAAAGUGAAUACAAAUACAAAAAACAAGUACUUACAGCCAAUGGCCAUUUUAGUUACUAAAUAACCUUCAUUUAUUUAAAUAUACUCAGGGAUUUGAGAUAGAGCACAGGCAACCUUUUCUUCUUUGUUUUUUAUUGUAAGUAUUGGGGAUGAUGUGUACUAUAGUCAUUGCUGCCCAGGAGUAGUGGGAGUCUAAGUGUAGGACUUAUUUCUGUGUAUUUGUAUUUACUUUGUAUCACACAGCAAUUUUACAAUGCUACUGCCCAUCCCAUGUGUUCCCUAUUAAGGGUUAAUAAGUAUAUAGGGGUGUAUAUAGAAAAUACCCCUCUCCGUCUCAUUAGAGAUAUCAAGGAAGCACAGUGAAUGUCACCUACAAGGUUUGCCAUGACGCGACAGGUGAGUUUACACCUAAUGGCCACUGGAGUAACUAAAAACGGCCAGUUAUUUAAAUAUGCUCAGGGAUUUGGGGUAGUGUGCAGGCAACUCUUUUUUUUUUUUUUUUGGUUAAUUCUCAAAGUUUUGGAAUCUUGUGUCUAAGCCAAAAACAAGCGUUUAUGAGAUCACUGAGAGUGGUCAUCGUCUUAAACAGCCUUCAGUGGCCCAAAGAGGCCGACACCAAUCUCUCAUGCAGAGAAAACCUGCUGGCAUUUCAGAUCUGAACCUACCUGGAGAUGGCCAUGUGAGCUCAAACCUGUUUGAGACCUGAGUGGGCAGAAGGACAAGCUAUUUCAGCUGUUGUCCGUUCUCAGUAUACUCUCGUAAACUCUUGGUUUUGGCUAAUUUUAGGCAAAACGCAGUAAAAAUGGAAAUCGUCACUAAACAGUGAGUUCUGCUGCAUUGACAGAAGACUGGCACGUUUUAAGGUUUUAGUGCAGCUUUGAAUAAAAUAUUAAAAUAAAAUUUCCACUUUUAUUUGUGUAGAAAUGUGAGUGUUUCCAAUCCUGAGAUUUCUAAUGUUGCUUGCUAGGUUUUUACAUGUAUCUCAGAUCACUGCUUAGUGAAUACAACCUCCCAUACUGUUCUAUACCUCAUACUCCUCCCAUCAUUGACACAGAGUGAAAGUGAAAGUAACUUGUGCGAGAAACGAGGGAAAGAAAGAGCGCGAAGACCUGAAUUUAAACAAUCAAAUCACCGUUCAAAAUGUAGUGAAUUCUGUGACGGCUCCAUUAAAGGUAAAUCCCCGACUGGGUUUAAUCUGCUCUUAGCAGUGCUAGCAGAGACAAGCUUAAAGGGACACUAUAGUCACCAGAACAACUACAGCUUAACUCCUGUUAGUGGAUAGCUCUUCCACAAAUCGUCUGAGGGGAACUUCUUUCUAUUGUUAAUACAAUCAGUGAUGUCUGAGAACGAACUGAGAUCCUCCAGGGAAACCCAUAUUUCCAAAAUGUGCGCUGCCGUUCAUUGGGAAACGGGGGAGACUGUGAAAGCUUUGAGGAAUAUGUUGAGGUUUCUAAAAUUUUGAAUAACGAUCUCUGUCCUACUGUCUCUCUCUGUCUUUAGCUGUAUCUCUCCCCACCCUCCAUUUCUUCCUGUCUCUUUUUGUAUCUCUUCCCCUCUCUCUCCAUCUCCCCGUCUCUAUUACCUCUUCUUUCACAUACUCCCCCUGUUUCUCUGUCUCUUUCCCUGCCCCCCUCCCUAUGUCUCUCUAUCUCUUCUACAUGUCUUUUUCUCCUCCUCUCUCUCUCUCAGGCUGGCAGAGGGGUACAGAGAAAAAUAUCCUAUCACACUUCUGGCUAAGUUCUUGACCCCUAGAUCAGCACCAAAAUGUUUCCUUGCCCAUAGUUUUAGUGGAUUCCAAAUGGUGGUAAAAGACACAUUAUAUCCAGAAGGCACGGGGAGAUUGCAAACAAUAAAUGUCUACUGUAGCAGCAGAUCUUAACACUCACAGCAGAGACUGCUGUCGACAAAACGGAACGGAGUCUAAUGAAUGUGUUUUGUAAAUCUGAUGUUGUUGCAUAUUAUCCCGCAUUGGCAGAACGAGUCACCAUGUAUAUGUGUCAUUUGGGUCCCUGUCAAACAACCUCUGAUUUACUUUGUGAUUGUGUGUUUUGUUUUUUAUAAUGAGAGGAAUUCAUUGGUUUUCCGAUGUGAUGCAUGCAGUGUGUUAUAUGAUAUUAUUAUUGUUAUAAUUAUUAUUAUUUAUAUAGCGCCAUCAGAUUCCAUAGCGCUGUACAAUGGGAUGUACAUCUCAGGCAGUGUGGAGUAGGGUUCCAUAAACACCAAUAAUUCGAUAUUACACAUUGAAACCCCUCUGCUAACCACCUCUCCCCCCCCUCAGUUAGAACUCCAAGCCAGCUGAUAUAAUCCAGGGAUGUGGACCUCCCUCUACCUGUCCUGUACAUAUUUUGAAUAAACUUUUACAAUUAUUUUUUCAAAAUGUUAAAAUAUGAAAAAAAACUAUUAAAAAAAUAUGAAAACAAAAUACUGCA
RNAcentral lists this long non-coding RNA (4141 nucleotides) under Pelobates cultripes (western spadefoot toad). The record is from RNAcentral. Lineage: Eukaryota; Metazoa; Chordata; Amphibia; Anura; Pelobatidae.